This 253-nucleotide ribosomal RNA is filed under the name uncultured bacterium. RNAcentral describes it as "partial 16S ribosomal RNA". It matches the Rfam family "Bacterial small subunit ribosomal RNA", at positions 524 to 776 of the family's 1533-position model. The record is from RNAcentral.
UACAGAGACUGCAAGCGUUAUUCGGAUUCACUGGGCGGAAAGGGUGCGCAGGCGGCCAAGUGUGUGAGGCGUGAAAGCCCGGGGCUUAACCUCGGAAUUGCACCUCAAACUACAUGGCUAGAGCAUUGGAGAGGGUAGCAGAAUUCACGGUGUAGCAGUGAAAUGCGUAGAUAUCGUGAGGAAUACCAGAGGCGAAGGCGGCUACCUGGACAAUUGCUGACGCUCAGGCACGAAAGCGUGGGGAGCAAAAGGG